This 204-nucleotide unclassified non-coding RNA is filed under the name Hevea brasiliensis (rubber tree). The record is from RNAcentral. Lineage: Eukaryota; Viridiplantae; Streptophyta; Magnoliopsida; Malpighiales; Euphorbiaceae.
ACUCACCACCAUAUAUCAUACUACUAUCUCCACCUAAUUUUAUAAAGAACUCAAGACCAUGUCACAGACAGGUCAGCGUAACUGUGUAUUCACAAUAGGCUCAUCAUCAAACAAAUGAUGAGCAUAGGUCACUUACAAUCUCAUCAGAGCAUGUCAAACUACCCUAUGGGCGAUCACAAAUUUCCUAUGGAAUCAUCAAAAAAG